CCUACGGGUGGCAGCAGUGGGGGAUAUUGCACAAUGGGGGAAACCCUGAUGCAGCGACGCCGCGUGUGGGAAGACGGUCUUCUGGAUUGUAAACCACUGUCCCCAGGGACGAAAAUGACGGUACCUGGGGCGGACGCUCCGGCUAACUACGUGCCAGCAGCCGCGGUAAUACGUAGGGAGCAAGCGUUAUCCGGAAUGAUUGGGCGUAAAGGGUGCGUAGGCGGCCUGCUAAGUCUGGAGUGAAAGGUACCGGCUCAACCGGUACAGGCUCUGGAAACUGGCGGGCUAGAGAGCAGGAGAGGGCGGUGGAACUCCAUGUGUAGCGGUAAAAUGCGUAGAUAUAUGGAAGAACACCAGUGGCGAAGGCGGCCGCCUGGCCUGUGACUGACGCUGAGGCACGAAAGCGUGGGGAGCAAAUAGGAUUAGAUACCCUGGUAGUC
Molecule: ribosomal RNA, 440 nt
Filed under: uncultured bacterium
Lineage: Bacteria
Description: partial 16S ribosomal RNA
Rfam family: Bacterial small subunit ribosomal RNA
Source: RNAcentral